GGGGAAUAUUGGACAAUGGGGGGAACCCUGAUCCAGCCAUGCCGCAUGUGUGAAGAAGGCCUUCGGGUUGUAAACUGCUUUUGUACGGAACGAAAAGACUCCUUCUAAUAAAGGGGGCCCAUGACGGUACCGUAAGAAUAAGCACCGGCUAACUACGUGCCAGCAGCCGCGGUAAUACGUAGGGUGCAAGCGUUAAUCGGAAUUACUGGGCGUAAAGCGUGCGCAGGCGGUUAUAUAAGACAGAUGUGAAAUCCCCGGGCUCAACCUGGGAACUGCAUUUGUGACUGUAUAGCUAGAGUACGGUAGAGGGGGAUGGAAUUCCGCGUGUAGCAGUGAAAUGCGUAGAUAUGCGGAGGAACACCGAUGGCGAAGGCAGCCCCCUGGGUCGAUACUGACGCUCAUGCACGAAAGCGUGGGGAGCAAACA
This 426-nucleotide ribosomal RNA is filed under the name uncultured Comamonadaceae bacterium. RNAcentral describes it as "bacterial SSU rRNA". It matches the Rfam family "Bacterial small subunit ribosomal RNA", at positions 356 to 774 of the family's 1533-position model. The record is from RNAcentral. Lineage: Bacteria; Pseudomonadati; Pseudomonadota; Betaproteobacteria; Burkholderiales; Comamonadaceae.